RNAcentral lists this ribosomal RNA (496 nucleotides) under uncultured bacterium. RNAcentral describes it as "partial 16S ribosomal RNA". It matches the Rfam family "Bacterial small subunit ribosomal RNA", at positions 28 to 506 of the family's 1533-position model. The record is from RNAcentral.
GAUGAACGCUGGCGGCGUGCCUAAUACAUGCAAGUCGAGCGAACGGACGAGAAGCUUGCUUUUCUGAUGUUAGCGGCGGACGGGUGAGUAACACGUGGAUAACCUACCUAUAAGACUGGGAUAACUACGGGAAACCGGAGCUAAUACCGGAUAAUACUUUGAACCGCAUGGUUCAAAAGUGAAAGACGGUCUUGCUGUCACAUAUAGAUGGACCCGCGCUGCAUUAGCUAGUUGGUAAGGUAACGCCUUACCAAGGCAACGAUGCAUAGCGGACCUGAGGGGUGGAUCGGCCACACUGGAACGAGGACACGUCCCGGACUCCUACGGGGGGCAGCAGUGGGGAAUCUGCAGCAAUGGGCGAAGGCCUGACGGGGCAACGCCGCGGGGGGAAGGAAGGUCUUGGGUUGGUAAACCCUUGUUAUUGGGGAAAAACAUAUGUGUAUGUAACCGUGCUCAUCUGGAGGGUCCCAAAUCAGAAGGCCCCGGCUAACUCGUU